This 882-nucleotide ribosomal RNA is filed under the name uncultured archaeon. RNAcentral's name for it is "bacterial SSU rRNA". It matches the Rfam family "Archaeal small subunit ribosomal RNA", at positions 23 to 903 of the family's 1478-position model. The record is from RNAcentral.
GUUACUGCUAUCGGAGUUCGAUUAAGCCAUGCGAGUCUAAAGGUUUCUUCGGAAACCUUGGCAGACUGCUCAGUAACAUGUGGAUAACCUACCCUUAGGACUGGGAUAACCCCGGGAAACUGGGGAUAAUACCGGAUAGAUCAAGGAUCGCUGGAAUGCGCCUUGAUCCAAAGCUCCGGCGCCUAAGGAUGGGUCUGCGGCCUAUCAGGUUGUAGUGGGUGUAACGUACCUACUAGCCGACGACGGGUACGGGUUGUGAGAGCAAGAGCCCGGAGAUGGAUUCUGAGACACGAAUCCAGGCCCUACGGGGUGCAGCAGGCGCGAAACCUUUACAAUGUGCGAAAGCAUGAUAAGGGAACUCCGAGUGCCAACAUCUAAUGUUGGCUGUCCUUGUGCCUAAAACGCACGAGAUAGCAAGGGCCGGGUAAGACCGGUGCCAGCCGCCGCGGUAACACCGGCGGCCCGAGUGGUAGCCGCUAUUAUUGGGUCUAAAGGGUCCGUAGCCGGUUCGGUAAGUCCUCUGGGAAAUCUGAUUGCUUAACAAUCAGGCUGCCAAGGGAUACUGCCGAACUUGAGACCGGGAGAGGUAAGAGGUACUUCAGGGGUAGGAGUGAAAUCUUGUAAUCCCUGGGGGACCGUCUGUGGCGAAGGCGUCUUACCAGAACGGGUCUGACGGUGAGGGACGAAAGCUGGGGGCGCGAACCGGAUUAGAUACCCGGGUAGUCCCAGCCGUAAACGAUGCUCGCUAUGUGUCAGGUAUGGUGCGACCGUAUCUGGUGCCGUAGGGAAGCCGUGAAGCGAGCCACCUGGGAAGUACGGCCGCAAGGCUGAAACUUAAAGGAAUUGGCGGGGGAGCACUACAACGGGUGGAGCCUGCGGUUU